AUAACAUUUCUCUCUAUCUUCAAUUCCACAUAUGUGAUAAUUAAUAUAUUGCCUUGUAUGGAUGGCUUCACUCAAAACAAUACAUAUGCCUUCUGUUUAUUUGCCUGACAAAUGACCAUCAGAUGAAUCAAUCAAAUAGGGGGAAUUGGGGAGCAUUUCAAACCAAAACAAAGAAUUGAUCCUAACUACUAAAGUGCAGCAGCUUUAAAGCCUCUGAAUUAUUUUGCUCUUACUCCACCAGGAAAGUGCAGGCCUUCAAGAACCAAAAGAUUUAAGAGUGGAACUAAAAGAACAGCAUUCAAAUCCUCGUAAGCCAUGUUGUUUAUAUCCUUAAACCCAACAAAUGAUUGUGGAAUAAUAACCUUGAUCUUAUUCAACUCCUCAGCUAAAUUUCGUCUUCUUCCCUUCAUCCUCAGAUCUGCACACGUCAAGUACACUUCGAAUUGAACAAUACCAUGCAUUGAUUUCAGUUUAAGCUGUCCAUAUAAGUAAAGCAGCAGGUCAGUCACAAGAACCGAAUAAAGAGAUACUAUCCAACUAAUAUAUAAACGAUGAAUCAUGAAGAGAUAGUACAAUUUCUCCUCGCACACACAAAAAUAAAAAAUCCUAAAAUAACUUAGCUACAGAUUAUGAAGCAAGUAGGCCCUUAGAUUCACACAAUUUUAACAUCAUGCACAUGUUAAAUGGUAUACUCAUCACUGUACAGAGUAUGUUGAGAUUAGAAAUAAAAAUAGCAGAGCAAGGCAUUAGAUUGCAGAGAUUAACAAUGGAAACAUCGUAACAAAUACAACAUUUGUAGGGUGGAGGAGGAGCUCACCUAGAGCUUAGGCCCUCUGCCCGCCAUAUAGGCAAAGGAGAUGCGUCUUGACAGCACUCUGAAUAAAAUGUAUGGCUACGAGCAAAGGAAAGGUCUACGGAGUGAGGACAAGCAGAGAGCACGAGCAAGGGAUCAGACAUGCAGUAAAUUCCUGCACAAAAGACAGACUUUCGACCCAGUUUCUAUGCUCCAUGUACUACCCUGCAAACCAGAAUGAAAAUCACCAUAUACAUUUUCAUUGCAGCAACAUGUAACCCGUUAAUAAACAGAGACCACUUUCUGUACAUCCACAUAUACCCACUAAAACACAAAGAGAACUGUUGUGCUUGUUCCAUUACUGUCUGCGUGUGUCCACAUACACUUAUUAGAAUAAACGGAGAAUACUAAGAGGCAGCAAGAGUAUAGUAUCGCUCGUGAAGAACUAAC
Molecule: long non-coding RNA, 1243 nt
Filed under: Triticum aestivum (bread wheat)
Lineage: Eukaryota; Viridiplantae; Streptophyta; Magnoliopsida; Poales; Poaceae
Description: long non-coding RNA (TAES_LNC003491)
Source: RNAcentral